GGCCCGUAAUCCGGGUUGCGGACAGUGUCUGGUGGGUAGUUUGACUGGGGCGGUCUCCUCCCAAAGAGUAACGGAGGAGCACGAAGGUUAGCUAAUCCUGGUCGGACAUCAGGAGGUUAGUGCAAUGGCAUAAGCUAGCUUGACUGCGAGCGUGACGGCGCGAGCAGGUGCGAAAGCAGGUCAUAGUGAUCCGGUGGUUCUGAAUGGAAGGGCCAUCGCUCAACGGAUAAAAGGUACUCCGGGGAUAACAGGCUGAUACCGCCCAAGAGUUCAUAUCGACGGCGGUGUUUGGCACCUCGAUGUCGGCUCAUCACAUCCUGGGGCUGAAGUAGGUCCCAAGGGUAUGGCUGUUCGCCAUUUAAAGUGGUACGCGAGCUGGGUUUAGAACGUCGUGAGACAGUUCGGUCCCUAUCUGCCGUGGGCGCUGGAGAAUUGAGGGGGGCUGCUCCUAGUACGAGAGGACCGGAGUGGACGCAUCACUGGUGUUCGGGUUGUCAUGCCAAUGGCACUGCCCGGUAGCUAAAUGCGGAAGAGAUAAGUGCUGAAAGCAUCUAAGCACGAAACUUGCCCCGAGAUGAGUUCUCCCUGAGACUUUAAGUCUCCUGAAGGAACGUUGAAGACGACGACGUUGAUAGGCCGGGUGUGUAAGCGCAGCGAUGCGUUGAGCUAACCGGUACUAAUGAACCGUGAGGCUUAACCUUACAACGCCGAAG
RNAcentral lists this ribosomal RNA (713 nucleotides) under Klebsiella variicola. Its description in RNAcentral is "bacterial LSU rRNA". It matches the Rfam family "Bacterial large subunit ribosomal RNA", at positions 2230 to 2925 of the family's 2925-position model. Lineage: Bacteria; Pseudomonadati; Pseudomonadota; Gammaproteobacteria; Enterobacterales; Enterobacteriaceae. The record is from RNAcentral.